GGAGGAGUGCGCCGAAUUGGUAAGGCAGCGGAUUGCUAAUCCGUAUCCCGCUAAUAACGGGAUUGUGGGUUCGAGUCCCACCUCCUCCGCCU
This 92-nucleotide transfer RNA is filed under the name Candidatus Nealsoniibacteriota bacterium. Its description in RNAcentral is "Candidatus Nealsonbacteria bacterium tRNA-Ser". It matches the Rfam family "tRNA". Rfam says of the family: Transfer RNA (tRNA) molecules are approximately 80 nucleotides in length. The record is from RNAcentral. Lineage: Bacteria; Candidatus Nealsoniibacteriota.